RNAcentral lists this small RNA (22 nucleotides) under Arabidopsis thaliana (thale cress). RNAcentral describes it as "ATSL296820". Lineage: Eukaryota; Viridiplantae; Streptophyta; Magnoliopsida; Brassicales; Brassicaceae. The record is from RNAcentral.
AUUAAAAACCAAAAACAGAAAC